This 399-nucleotide ribosomal RNA is filed under the name Triticum aestivum (bread wheat). RNAcentral's name for it is "partial small subunit ribosomal RNA". The record is from RNAcentral. Lineage: Eukaryota; Viridiplantae; Streptophyta; Magnoliopsida; Poales; Poaceae.
AUGCAAUACUUGGUUGCAAGUGUCGAGGGAUCUGUUGGAGGUGAUCAAAGUAGAGAUGCUUAUUGGGGGCGAAUGAAAGAACACUUUGAUGCUCACAACGUGAGUGGAAUUGACCGCUCCGAGAGAUCACUUCGGUCCCGAUGGUCGACAAUCAACUCGGAUUGUCAAAAGUGGGCGGCCGCACAAAAUGCAGUUGACAAGAUUAACCCAAGUGGCACAAAUGAGGAUGAUAGAGUAAGUGAAGAGACGAGGACAACCAAGAAGGGGAAGAUCAAGAAAGGAAGGAUCUUUACCUUGCCUCAUUGCUAUGAAGUGUUAAAGGAUGAUGAGAAGUGGAAGAAGCGUGAAGAUUUGGAUGAUUUGCAUUUGAGCAACAAACGCAAGCAACAAUUGAGUUGA